This 253-nucleotide ribosomal RNA is filed under the name uncultured bacterium. Its description in RNAcentral is "partial 16S ribosomal RNA". It matches the Rfam family "Bacterial small subunit ribosomal RNA", at positions 524 to 776 of the family's 1533-position model. The record is from RNAcentral.
UACGUAGGGAGCGAGCGUUAUCCGGAAUUACUGGGUGUAAAGGGUGCGCAGGCGUCUUGUUGUGUUAGGAGUUAAAUUUCAAGGCUUAACCUUGGGGCUGCUCCUAAAACUGGCAGGAUAGAGUGUGGAAGACGGAAGUGGAAUUUCUAGUGGAGAGGUAAAAUCCGUUGAUAUUAGAAGGAACACCCGUGGUGUAAACGGCUUCCGAGUCCAUAACUGACGCUCAGGCACGAAAGCUAGGGUAGCAAACAGG